GCUUAUGGGUAAGUGAGUCCUCGGUUGUGUUGAUGUCCGUGGGAGAGAGACAGGCUUCAGACUGAGUCAGUGUGUGUUGGUGUGUAGAUGUGAACGCACGGUAAGGAAUUUGGAGGACUGGAGGACUUUUCUCUCCGAAUAAACCUACUUGUUUUUGAGACUUAAUGCGAUAACAAGGACUAAACGGGGAGGACAAAUGCGAAAAUGCGAGAAGAAAUCCAGGAAGAGAGUGUCCGCUUAUUAAAAAUUCAGCGCGGGAGAACAGACAUUAUCGCCCCUUCGGAUGACUUGUGGCAGCACUGAGGAUAAACUACAGGACUAACGGACUCCACACAUUAUUGAAUGGGGUGAAACGACGCUGAAUUUGCUCUAGAAGGUUAGUCCAAAGCAUUUCCAAGCGGCCAAAAACCAAAGGGAAGGGGAGGAAAGGGGGGGCUAAGAAAACGCCCUGCUGCCUGUUGCUGGUAUCACCACGUUCAAACUUUAUCGCCGAGUUGGAAAAUGCAUCUACCACUUAACAAAAGGUGAUAAUUCGAGUGAAACGUCACCUUCAUUAGCUCAUAGCCAGACUGCUUGCUAACUGAGGGCCCGCACACUCACAAGUUUUUGGAAAGCUGGAAGUCUCCGCUUUGGGGAUAUUUUUCUCUUCAUUGUGCACACUGUUCCUGUUGGAGGCGAUUUGGGUGGGCUGAGAGCCCAAGGCUGCUCCGCGAGGCCCACGGCCAUUAGCCAGGAACAAAAGGUUUCACAUGUAAACUCACACAGUUUGGACCACCACUUCAUAUUUUACUAACUUUGAACGACCGACGCUGCAGUCAUGUCGCUCGGCGCCGAGAGGAGGAUGGAAACCCGGCUGAAGAAGCUGGAGGAUAUGAUCAGAGACCCCAGAUCUGCCAUAAACCUGGAAAGUUUGCUGGACUCCAUAAAUGCCCUGGUCUUAGACUUGGACUACCCUGCACUACGCAAGAACAAAAACAUUGAAACCUUCUUAAACAGAUAUGAGAAAGUCAUCGAACAGACUCGAGACCUUCAGAUGAAGUCUGAAGACUUCGACAGAGUUAAAGUCAUUGGUCGAGGGGCAUUCGGUGAAGUCCAGUUGGUCCGGCAUAAAGCCUCUCAGAAGGUCUACGCCAUGAAGCUACUGAGCAAGUUUGAGAUGAUCAAACGCUCAGACUCGGCUUUCUUCUGGGAAGAGAGAGACAUCAUGGCCUUUGCCAACAGUCCCUGGGUCGUACAGUUGUGCUGUGCCUUCCAAGAUGAGCACUACCUCUACAUGGUGAUGGAAUACAUGCCAGGAGGCGACCUGGUCAACCUCACCAGCACCUACGACGUACCGGAGAAAUGGGCCAAGUUCUACACAGCAGAAGUGGUGAUGGCCCUGGACGCCAUUCACUCCAUGGGCUUCAUCCAUCGAGACGUCAAGCCCGACAACAUGCUGCUGGACAGACAUGGACACCUCAAGCUGGCUGACUUCGGCACGUGCAUGAAGAUGGACUCUACUGGCAUGGUGCACUGUGAUACAGCUGUUGGGACCCCGGAUUACAUCUCCCCUGAGGUGCUGAAAUCACAGGGAGGAGAUGGCUAUUAUGGACGAGAGUGUGACUGGUGGUCCGUAGGGGUCUUCAUCUUCGAGAUGCUUGUCGGUGACACACCGUUCUAUGCCGACUCUCUGGUGGGAACCUACAGUAAGAUCAUGGACCAUAAAAACUCUCUCAACUUCCCGGACGAUGUGGAGAUCUCCAAAGAUGCCAAGAAUAUCAUCUGUGCCUUCCUGACUGACAGGGAGGUGCGAUUGGGCAGAAACGGUGUGGAGGAAAUCAAGCGACACCCUUUUUUCAGGAACGACCAGUGGACCUUCGACACCAUCAGAGACACGGUUGCCCCUGUAGUCCCAGAGCUGAGCAGUGACAUAGACACCAGCAAUUUUGAUGAGAUUGAAGAAGAUAAAGGUGAUGUAGAAACUUUCCCCACACCUAAGGCCUUUGUUGGAAAUCAGCUGCCCUUUGUUGGCUUCACUUACUUCAAAGAAGACCAGUUACUGAAUGCUUCCAACAAUAUCUCUGUGACUCACGACAAUUCAAAAGGAGAGUCGGCAGCACUGCAGAAGAAACUGCGCCACCUGGAGGUGCAGCUGAACAAUGAGAAGCAGGUCAAAGAUGAAGUAGAGCACAAAUACAGAGCUGCCUCUAGCCGCCUGGACAAAAUCUCCAAAGAACUUGAGGAAGAGGUGAGCAGCAGAAAGAAUCUGGAGUCGAGUCUGAGGCAGCUAGAGAGAGAGAAAGCCCUGCUUCAGCACAAGAGCCUGGAGAGCCACCGCAAGGCUGAGAGCGAGGCCGACAGGAAGCGCUGCCUGGAGAAUGAAGUCAACAGCCUUCGUGACCAGCUGGAAGACAUGAAGAGAAGAAACCAGAAUUCGCACAUUUCUAAUGAGAAGAACAUUCACCUGCAGAAACAGCUGGAAGAAGCCAACACGUUGCUGCGGGCUGAGUCUGAGGCGGCGGUGCGGCUCCGUAAAACCCAGACGGAGAGCAGCAAGCAGCUCCAGCAGCUGGAGGCCAAUGUGCGUGAGCUGCAGGACAAAUGCUGCCUGUUGGAGCGCAGCAAGCUGAGCCUGGAGAAGGAAUGCAUCAGCCUGCAGGCCGCCUUGGAGACGGAGAGGCGGGAGCACAGCCAGGGCUCGGAGACCAUAAGCGACCUGAUGGGACGCAUCUCCGUCCUGGAGGACGAGGCACGUCAGCAAAGACAGGCUCUGUCCAAAGUAGAGAGUGAGAAGAGACAGCUUCAGGAGAAGCACACCGACCUGGAGAAGGAGAUGAGCAACAAGGAGAUUGAUCUGACCUAUAAGCUGAAGGUGCUGCAGCAGGAGCUGGAGCAGGAGGAGGCCUCUCAUAAGGCCACCAGAGCGCUGCUGGCUGACAAGAGCAAGAUCAAAGUAACCAUUGAGGGUGCCAAAUCAGAGUCGAUGAAGGAGUUGGAGCAGAAGCUGGCGGAGGAGCGAGCAGCCAAACUUCGGUUAGAGAACCGAAUACUGGAGCUGGAGAAGCACAGCAGCAUGAUGGACUGUGACUAUAAACAGGCUCUGCAGAAACUAGAAGAGCUGCGCAGACACAAGGACAGACUAACUGAGGAGAUGAAGAACCUUACGCUGAAGAUCGAGCAGGAGACCCAGAAGCGUAACCUGAUUCAGAACGACCUGAAAGCCCAGAACCAGCAGCUCAGUUCUCUGCGAACCUCUGAGAAGCAGCUGAAGCAGGAAGCGAAUCACCUGCUGGACAUUAAACGCAGCCUGGAAAAGCAGAACCAAGAGCUGCGCAAAGAAAGACAGGACACAGAUGGUCAAAUGAAGGAAUUACAGGACCAGUUAGAAGCUGAACAGUAUUUCUCUACGCUGUAUAAGACCCAGGUUCGCGAACUGAAGGAGGAGUGCGAGGAGAAGAACAAACUCUACAAAGAUAUGCAGCAGGCUCUGCAGGAGCUACAGGAGGAAAGGGAUUCAUUGGCAGCUCAGCUGGAGAUCACACUGACAAAGGCUGACUCUGAGCAGCUGGCCCGCUCCAUCGCUGAGGAGCAGUACUCAGACCUGGAGAAGGAGAAGAUAAUGAAGGAGCUGGAGCUGAAGGAGAUGAUGGCCCGCCACCGUCAGGAGCUAUCCGAGAAAGACAUCACCAUCAGUUCGCUGGAGGAAGCCAACAGGACCCUGACCAGUGAUGUUGCCAACCUAGCCAAUGAGAAGGAGGAGUUGAACAACAAACUGAGGGAUGCUAUAGAUGAAUCAGAAAAGUCAAAGGAUUGGGAGCAGCAGAUCAGCCAGAUGAAGCAGGCAUUUGAGAAACAGCUGCAGUCAGAAAGGACGCUCAAAACUCAGGCUGUCAAUAAACUGGCAGAGAUCCUGAACAGGAAGGAGGUUCGUGGCGGAGGCAGUCGCCGUGGCAACGACACUGACAUGCGGCGGAAGGAGAAGGAGAACAGGAAGCUGCAGUUGGAGCUAAGGUCAGAGAAGGAAAAACUCAACAGCUCCAUCAUCAAAUACCAGAAAGAAAUCAACGAAAUGCAGGCGCAACUGUCAGAGGAGAGCCAGAUGCGUAUAGAGCUGCAGAUGGCUCUGGACAGUAGGGACAGUGACAUCGAGCAGCUCAGGAACCUCCUGCAGUCGCUCAGUGUCCAAUCGCUGGACUCUGCCAGCGUCAACAGUGGACCGGAGUUUGAUACUGAUGAUGCAUACACAGAAACGAGGCUGGAGGGCUGGCUCUCUCUCCCUGUGAGAAACAAUACCAAGAAGUUUGGAUGGGAGAAAAAGUAUGUUGUAGUGAGCAGCAAGAAGAUUCUCUUCUACAACAACGAGCAGGACAAAGAGCAGUCCAUUCCCUACAUGGUGCUUGAUAUAGACAAACUCUUCCACGUGAGGCCUGUCACUCAAACAGAUGUGUACCGUGCCGACGCCAAAGAGAUUCCCAGGAUAUUCCAGAUUCUUUAUGCCAAUGAGGGUGAGAGCAAAAAGGAGCCGGAGUUUCCUGUGGAGCCAUUGGCCAUUGGAGAGAAAUCCAGCUACAUCUGCCACAAAGGCCACGAGUUCAUCCCCACGCUCUACCACUUUCCCACCAACUGCGAGGCCUGCACCAAGCCGCUGUGGAACAUGUUCAAGCCGCCGCCUGCUCUGGAGUGCCGGCGGUGUCACAUCAAGUGCCACAAGGACCACAUGGACAAGAAGGAGGAGAUUAUCGCUCCAUGCAAAGUGAACUAUGAUGUGUCUACGGCAAAGAACAUGCUGCUGCUGGCCACGUCGCAGGAGGAGCAGCAGAAGUGGGUGAGCCGACUGGUAAAGAAGAUUCCCAAGAAGCCCCCGCCACCAGAGCACUUUGCACGCUCCUCGCCACGCGCAUCCAUGAAGGUCCAGCCAAGCCAGUCCAUGAGGAGACCCAGUCGACAGCUCCCCACCAGCAAGAGCAGUGACCUUACGUCCUCUGACCUCAGCCCUCGCAGGUCAAAUGGCUUCAAAAUGAGGCGAGAAGAAUCCCACAGUGGACACUGGUUCAAUUGAUGACUGCUCACACCUUGUUCUCCUUUUACCCAGACGUUUCCCUGUAAACCACUCAUUUACUAAAUUUAACCUUGCUUGGGAGUCUGGUGUGUCGUCAAGUUGGUGGGAUGUUUUUCCCUCCUAAAUCAAAGACUCCAUACAACAAAGCUCCUUGCAGAUCAGCACACUGAACUCCACAUCACAUGUCCGCAACCCACCCUGACAUGCUUCAGCCUGUGAGAGUUACAAAAUUUCUCCCUUUUGUUGAACUUCCUUCCCAGUCAGUAGAAGUGGUAACAGUGAUGUGUGAUCUUUCGACCUAGCUGGAUGGCUUGUAAGCAUAUUCGUCCAAGUCUUCUCCUGGGCCCUUGACUCGAGCAGUUACGAGUCCCUGGGGAGCUGGAUUAGCUCGUUGAGCUCCCACAGAACAGAAGUGAGCUCUUAUAAGCCCAACAAGGGCAGGCAAGAAGGGGAUACACUUACCUCAACACUUCUCACCAGGACACACUGUCUGAAGGACCUAACAGGAAAACUCUACUGUCCCUCACCACCUUUGGGGAUUGUUGUGGCCAAAUAAAAAGACAUUCUUGUAUUUAAUGAUUGUGAACAAUAUGAAGGGUUUAAUGGGGAACACUACACUCAGAAGAUAGUCAUUUCUGUAAUUUUUUUGGGUUGAGGUUGUUGAACUUGAUCUCAGAUACAGUAUUUGGACUGGGCUGAUUCCAACUCUUUAACAUAUUGAUUGUAGCUUCUUGCUUUCCACGAUUCUGCUUUCAGAUGUGCGCCCAUACAGGUCAGAGAAACUUGAAUGAGGUACUUAAGUAAAUGAAGUUUGACUUCAGAGAAAGUCAGGUGGGGCAGGAGUGUCAGAUUCCUCCAGGAUGUGAGCAAAUCAUUUCUUGAGUGCCUCAAAUUCAAAUUUCUUACUCGGGCACACUCUGAAUCACCGGUUUGUCGUUGUGUGACUACAGUAACGGUUUUAAGUGAACUCAAUCCCGCUCUGAAUGGCAUGAGAUGGAGGCCCAGAUGUAAGAUCUUCACAAUCUUUCAAACCUGCACUGUCAUGUUAUGAGGGUUAAUGUUUACUUAAUUCAAGGGGUGCACCAUGAAUGCUUUUCUGAUCCGAGCUCAGCUCCGUUUCUUGUUUGAAUGUAUAUCUGGACUCUACCAGAGACGACACGAAGGCAUUGUAUUACUUCUAUCCAAAUAUACUUGACUGAAGCCCCCUUUCAUCACCAACUGCUCUGAGUGAACUUGCAUGUGUUUGCCUUUUCAGGCCUCACAAUUAAGUGCUGUCACCCACAGGCCUCCACCUAUUAGAAAUGUAUAUUUUUAUCAUAUCCUGAUCAUGAAAAUGAGGGCAAUUGACCAAUGAGAAGCAGAAACAAUGAAGGUAUGCAAUCAUAUCUCAUGAGUCAGAAUACUGAGCAGCACUAUUCCAUUGAAAGUUUUUCUAAAAGUGUUUGUCCUGAUAUUUUUGUAUUAAAAGUAACCAGACUGA
Molecule: RNA transcript, 6518 nt
Organism: Scatophagus argus
Lineage: Eukaryota; Metazoa; Chordata; Actinopteri; Scatophagidae
Gene: rock2a
Gene name: rho-associated, coiled-coil containing protein kinase 2a
Exons: 33
Source: RefSeq, a predicted model, not a curated record